UACGGAGGGUGCAAACGUUGCUCGGAAUCAUUGGGCGUAAAGCGCACGUAGGCUGCUCGACAAGUUGGAUGUGAAAGCCCUUGGCUCAACCGAGGAAGUGCAUCCAAAACUGGCGGGCUUGAAUCUCGGAGGGGGUCGGAGAAUUCCGGGUGUAGAGGUGAAAUUCGUAGAUAUCCGGAGGAAUACCAGUGGCGAAGGCGCCGACCUGGACGAAGAUUGACGCUGAGGUGCGAAAGCGUGGGGAGCAAACAGG
Molecule: ribosomal RNA, 253 nt
Filed under: uncultured bacterium
Lineage: Bacteria
Description: partial 16S ribosomal RNA
Rfam family: Bacterial small subunit ribosomal RNA
Source: RNAcentral